GAUGAAGAACGUAGCGAAAUGCGAAAAGUAGUGUGAAUUGCAGAAUUCAGUGAAUCAUCGAAUCUUUGAACGCACAUUGCGCCCCUUGGUAUUCCAUGGGGCAUGCCUGUUCGAGCGUCAUUUGUACCUUCAAGCUCUGCUUGGUGUUGGGUGUUUGUCCCGCUUUUUGCGUGGACUCGCCUCAAAGCAAUUGGCAGCCGGCGUACUAGCCUGGGAGCGCAGCACAUUUUCGCAUCUCGACUGGAACGCUUGCGUCCAUUAAGCCUACACUUUUGCUCUUGACCUCGGAUCAGGUAGGGAUACCCGCUGAACUUAAGCAUAUCAAUAAGCGGAGGA
This 336-nucleotide unclassified non-coding RNA is filed under the name soil metagenome. RNAcentral describes it as "partial contains 5.8S ribosomal RNA, internal transcribed spacer 2, and large subunit ribosomal RNA". The stretch from base 1 to 120 matches the Rfam family "5.8S ribosomal RNA", at positions 35 to 154 of the family's 154-position model. The record is from RNAcentral.